CAAGUCGAACGGAGUUCUUAAGGAAUGCGACUUCGGUCAAAUGACUUUUGAACUUAGUGGCGGACGGGUGAGUAACGCGUGAGCAACCUGCCUUUCAGAGGGGGAUAACAUUUGGAAACAGAUGCUAAUACUGCAUAAGAUUACAGUACCGCAUGAUACAGUGAUCAAAGGAGCAAUCCGCUGAAAGAUGGGCUCGCGUCCGAUUAGAUAGUUGGUGAGGUAACGGCUCACCAAGUCGACGAUCGGUAGCCGGACUGAGAGGUUGAACGGCCACAUUGGGACUGAGACACGGCCCAGACUCCUACGGGAGGCAGCAGUGGGGAAUAUUGCACAAUGGGCGAAAGCUUGAUGCAGCAACGCCGCGUGAGGGAAGACGGUUUUCGGAUUGUAAACCUCUGUUUUCGGUGACGAAUAAAUGACGGUAACCGAGUAGGAAGCCACGGCUAACUACGUGCCAGCAGCCGCGGUAAUACGUAGGUGGCAAGCGUUAUCCGGAAUUACUGGGUGUAAAGGGAGCGCAGGCGGGAUAGCAAGUCAGCUGUGAAAACUAUGGGCUCAACCCAUAAACUGCAGUUGAAACUGUUAUUCUUGAGUGGAGUAGAGGCAAGCGGAA
RNAcentral lists this ribosomal RNA (613 nucleotides) under uncultured bacterium. Its description in RNAcentral is "bacterial SSU rRNA". It matches the Rfam family "Bacterial small subunit ribosomal RNA", at positions 58 to 666 of the family's 1533-position model. The record is from RNAcentral.